AACGAACGCUGGCGGCGGGCCUAACACAUGCAAGUCGAGCGCCCAGCAAUGGGAGCGGCGGACGGGUGAGUAACGCGUGGGAAUUUUCCUCAAGGUACGGAACAACUCAGGGAAACUUGGGCUAAUACCGUAUGAUGUCUAGCGACCAAAGAUUUAUCGCCUUGAGAUGAGCCCGCGUCAGAUUAGGUAGUUGGUGGGGUAACGGCCUACCAAGCCUGCGAUCUGUAGCUGGUCUGAGAGGACGAUCAGCCACAUUGGGACUGAGACACGGCCCAAACUCCUACGGGAGGCAGCAGUGGGGAAUCUUGCGCAAUGGGCGAAAGCCUGACGCAGCCAUGCCGCGUGAAUGAUGAAGGUCUUAGGAUUGUAAAGUUCUUUCGCUCGUGACGAUGAUGACGGUAACGAGAGAAGAAGCCCCGGCUAACUUCGUGCCAGCCGCCGCCGUAA
This 447-nucleotide ribosomal RNA is filed under the name uncultured bacterium. Its description in RNAcentral is "partial 16S ribosomal RNA". It matches the Rfam family "Bacterial small subunit ribosomal RNA", at positions 29 to 523 of the family's 1533-position model. The record is from RNAcentral.